UACGGGGGGGGCAAGCGUUGUUCGGAAUUACUGGGCGUAAAGGGUCUGUAGGUGGCCAACUAAGUCAGACGUGAAAUCCCUCAGCUUAACUGGGGAACUGCGUCUGAUACUGGUUGGCUUGAGUGCAGGAGAGGAAUGCGGAAUUCCAGGUGUAGCGGUGAAAUGCGUUGAUAUCGUUUGGAACACCAAUAGCGUAGGCAGGCUUCUGGGUGCCACUUGACACUGCUAGGACGAAAGCGUGGGGAGCGAAUGGG
RNAcentral lists this ribosomal RNA (254 nucleotides) under uncultured bacterium. RNAcentral's name for it is "partial 16S ribosomal RNA". It matches the Rfam family "Bacterial small subunit ribosomal RNA", at positions 524 to 776 of the family's 1533-position model. The record is from RNAcentral.